Molecule: long non-coding RNA, 647 nt
Organism: Neogale vison (American mink)
Lineage: Eukaryota; Metazoa; Chordata; Mammalia; Carnivora; Mustelidae
Exons: 3
Source: RefSeq, a predicted model, not a curated record
CUCGGAGGCGGCCCUGGCCGGGGACCAAGAAAAUCCCCACCGGCGAAUGUUUGUAGGGGACUGAGAAAAUCUCCACCAGCAGCAGGUUCUGGGUAAGGACUGCUGGGUCUGUGGUUGUCUGUAUCUUGUCUUUUUGUUGUCUGUUAUGUUGUUUGUAGUGUUUGAAAAAACAUGGGACAAGCAGAGAGUAAGGGGACUCUGACUUUCAUCUCUCCGUUCCUCCUAAUAGAUGUGGGACUUCUCCCUUGCUCAUUUCUUAUGUUAAUGGCUAUACCUGGAGCCAACUGUGAUUGGUCUAACUCGAGACAGAGACUUUAAAGAAUAUUCCCAAGCAGCUCCCAAAACUCCCUUUGUUUAGGGGAAGUUCCUAGCUUCUCUGGCCCGACCUAGCCCCUCCCCCUUGCUGGCGGGACCUUCUGGCAGCAGUUUGUUUGUUCUGUCUCCUCCUUCUGUUUCUGCACCAGCUUGGGUGCAGCCUGCAUAACUGGCUUCUAGACCAUCCUUGGUGCUUCCUGCACCAUGGCUCCUUCUCUCUUCACUGUCAAGAAACAAAAAGAACACCCCCUGGACCCAACACCCACCCCCUCCAGAUCUUCCCACCCGUGUCUCAGUUAAAUUCUGCCUUAAAGAAAAUUCAUAUGGGAGAC